UGCAUUCGAGAUGGUAACUUGGCCCGGA
Molecule: small RNA, 28 nt
Filed under: Bombyx mori (domestic silkworm)
Lineage: Eukaryota; Metazoa; Arthropoda; Insecta; Lepidoptera; Bombycidae
Description: ovarian small RNA-8531
Source: RNAcentral